Molecule: ribosomal RNA, 40 nt
Filed under: Fusarium oxysporum
Lineage: Eukaryota; Fungi; Ascomycota; Sordariomycetes; Hypocreales; Nectriaceae
Also listed under: 5 other names
Description: partial 28S ribosomal RNA
Source: RNAcentral
UUCUGAAUGUUGACCUCGGAUCAGGUAGGAAUACCCGCUG